CGCGGGGUAGAGCAGUUGGCAGCUCGUCAGGCUCAUAACCUGAAGGCCGUAGGUUCGAGUCCUACCCCCGCUA
This 73-nucleotide transfer RNA is filed under the name Treponema sp. Its description in RNAcentral is "tRNA-fMet(cat)". It matches the Rfam family "tRNA". Rfam says of the family: Transfer RNA (tRNA) molecules are approximately 80 nucleotides in length. RNAcentral also lists the same sequence under 1 other name. Lineage: Bacteria; Pseudomonadati; Spirochaetota; Spirochaetia; Treponematales; Treponemataceae. The record is from RNAcentral.